GAUGAACGCUGGCGGCGUGCCUAAUACAUGCAAGUCGAGCGAACAGAUGAGGAGCUUGCUCCUCUGACGUUAGCGGCGGACGGGUGAGUAACACGUGGAUAACCUACCUAUAAGACUGGGAUAACUUCGGGAAACCGGAGCUAAUACCAGAUAAUAUAUUGAACCGCAUGGUUCAAUAGUGAAAGACGGUUUUGCUGUCACUUAUAGAUGGAUCCGCGCCGCAUUAGCUAGUUGGUAAGGUAACGGCUUACCAAGGCAACGAUGCGUAGCCGACCUGAGAGGGUGAUCGGCCACACUGGAACUGAGACACGGUCCAGACUCCUACGGGAGGCAGCUGUAGGGAAUCUUCCGCAAUGGGCGAAAGCCUGACGGAGCAACGCCGCGUGAGUGAUGAAGGUCUUCGGAUCGUAAAACUCUGUUAUUAGGGAAGAACAAAUGUGUAAGUAACUAUGCACGUCUUGACGGUACCUAAUCAGAAAGCCACGGCUAACUACGUG
Molecule: ribosomal RNA, 497 nt
Filed under: uncultured bacterium
Lineage: Bacteria
Description: partial 16S ribosomal RNA
Rfam family: Bacterial small subunit ribosomal RNA
Source: RNAcentral